RNAcentral lists this long non-coding RNA (1456 nucleotides) under Chloebia gouldiae (Gouldian finch). RNAcentral's name for it is "Erythrura gouldiae (Gouldian finch) lncRNA (ENSEGOG00005018255.1)". Lineage: Eukaryota; Metazoa; Chordata; Aves; Passeriformes; Passeridae. The record is from RNAcentral.
UCCCCAUGGGGGUCCCCAGGGUGUCCCCAGGGUGUCCCUCGUGUCCUUGGGGGGUCCCUUGGGGUGUCCCUCGGGGGGUCCCCAGGGUGUCCCUUGGGGUGUCCCCAGGGUGCCCUUAGGGCUGUCCCAAGUGUCCCCAGGGUGUCCCCGCGGUGUCCCUCGUGUCCUUGGGGGGUCCCCUGGGUGUCCCUGGGGGUCCCCUGGGUGUCCCAAAUGUCCCCCAGGGUGUCCCCAGGGUGUCGCUCGUGUCUUUGGGGGGUCCCCAGGGUGUUCCUCGGGGGGUCCCCAGGGUGUCCCUCGGGGGGUCCCCAAUGUCCCCAAGGUGUCCCCAAUGUCCCCAUGGGUGUCACCCCCGUCCCCAGUGUGCCCAAAGUCCCAGAAGUGUCCCAAAUGUCCCCAGGGUGUCCCCAGGGCUGGCCCAGGGGUGUCCCCAAAUGUCCCCAGGGUGUCCCCAGGGGUGUCACCCCCAUCCCCUCCUGUCCCCAAUGUCCCCAAGGUGUCCCCACUGUCCCCGUGGGUGUCCCCCCCAAUGUCCCCGUGGGUGCCCCGUGGGUGUCACCGCCGUUCCCAAUGUCCCCACUGUCCCUGCGGGUGCCCCCCCAAUGUCCCCAAUGUCCCUGUGGGUGUCCCAUGGGUGUCCCCAGGGCUGUCCCCGUGAGUGUCCCACGGGUGUCCCCCCAACGUCCCCAAUGUCCCCGCGGGUGUCCUCCCCAAUGUCCCCAAUGUCCCCAUGGGUGUCCCCAAUGUCCUCAUGGGUGUCACCCCCAUCCCCACUGUCCCCAGGGCUGUCCCAUGGGUGUCCCUGGGGUGUUCCCAGAGGCUAUCCCAGAGUGUCCCAUGGGUGUCCCGUGGGUGUCCCCCAUGUCCUGCGGGUGUCCCGUGGGUGUCCCCACCAUCCGCAGGGUGUCCCCAAUGUCCCCGCAGGUGUCCCCCCCCAAUGUCCCAUGGGUGUCCCCGCCGUCCCCAAUGUCCCCGUGGGUGUCCCCAAUAUCCCUGUGAGUGUCCCCAAUGUCCCGUGGGUGUCCCAUGGGUGUCACUCCCAUUCCCGUGGGUGUCCCCCCAACGUCCCCGCCGUCCCCGCGGGUGUCCCCCCCGAAUGUCCCCAAUCUCCCUGUGGGUGUCCCAUGGGUGUCCCCAAUGUCCCCACUGUCCCAUGGGUGUCCCAGGGGUGUCCCGAAUGUCCCCAAUGUCCCGCGGGUGUCCCCCCCAAUGUCCCACGGGUGUCCCCCGCAAUGUCCCGCGGGUGUCCCCCGCAAUGUCCCGCGGGUGUCCCCCCCAAUGUCCCGCGGGUGUCCCCCCCAAUGUCCCCGCAGACCGGCCGGGCUCGCGGCGCUGCGGCCGCUGCCUGAUCACCUUCCCGGACGCGGCGUUCGCCGCCCGCCACGCCAAGCGGCAGCACCCGGGCGCCUUCGCGGCAGCCGCCCUGCGGGGGGCGCUCUUCGUCUGCUUCGUCUGC